This 74-nucleotide transfer RNA is filed under the name Filimonas lacunae. It matches the Rfam family "tRNA". From Rfam's summary of the family: Transfer RNA (tRNA) molecules are approximately 80 nucleotides in length. The record is from Rfam by way of RNAcentral. Lineage: Bacteria; Pseudomonadati; Bacteroidota; Chitinophagia; Chitinophagales; Chitinophagaceae.
UCCCGAAUAGCUCAGUUGGUUAGAGUAUCUGACUGUUAGUCAGAGGGGCACAGAUCUAAGUUCUGUUUUGGGAG